GUCGGAUAAUUUUGUGCUUAGGGUGUUGAAGGAACUUAGAGAAGUAGGAAAUCCACUGAAAGCUUUCAGCUUUUUCAAAUGGGUUGCGAGGAAUUUAGAUUUUCAGCACAGCACUGUUACUUAUAAUGGGAUUCUUAGGGUUCUUUGCCGAGAAGAGUCGAUUGAGGAGUUCUGGGGUGUAGUAAAAGAGAUGAUGAGCCUUGGGUUUGAAAUAG
RNAcentral lists this unclassified non-coding RNA (215 nucleotides) under Hevea brasiliensis (rubber tree). The record is from RNAcentral. Lineage: Eukaryota; Viridiplantae; Streptophyta; Magnoliopsida; Malpighiales; Euphorbiaceae.